Molecule: long non-coding RNA, 1187 nt
Organism: Canis lupus familiaris (dog)
Lineage: Eukaryota; Metazoa; Chordata; Mammalia; Carnivora; Canidae
Exons: 7
Source: RefSeq, a predicted model, not a curated record
ACAGAGGCAGAACCCACUUUCAAGUUCAUUUAAGUAUUGAAGAAUUCAGUUCCUUGUAGUCUUAGGACUGAGGUUUUUAGUUUCCUAUGUAUCAUUGGUUGGAGGCCUCCCCCAGUUUCUUGCCAUGUGGAGUUCCCCAAUAUGGCCAUUUACUUCAAAGGAGAAAAAGAGACCCAACAAACAAGAACUACAAUGCUAUAUAAUGUCAUUAUAUAACCUCAUACAUCUUAUCACCUUGCCAAAUUUUAUUGAUUAAAAGCAAGUUAAAGACCUGCCUACACUCUAAAGAAAGAGAUCACACAGGGUAUAAACAUCUGGAGCCACUUGCCAGCCUAAGAUUCCCCAUCUAUUGUGCUAUUUCAUCUGAACAGAAGGAAACAUCUCAGCCAAAGAUAAAGUAUGAAGGGAGACUGGGAGCUGAGAUCAAAAGUUCCAAAAGUAUCCAAAUCUCAUGAUUAGAGAUCUAAAGGAUUCCUAAAGUCACUUAAGCCCUCCUCCCAGAUGCCAUCCGCUGGGCCCAGGCCAUGAAUCUUCUCAGAAUGUUAUCCUAAAGGCCUCCUGUGAGAAUGGGGAAAAAAAAGAGCAUGAGUUGUUCCUCAUCCUCAAGAAGAGCUCCCACUAUCACACAGCCUGCUGGCCGCGUGCUGUUCUGCAUGGGGCACUCUGCCAGCUCCUAAUUUAGAAGGAAGAGUCUAUGCAUGAGAGACCCAUAUGGAAAUGCCAACAUCUUUCUCCUAAUAAAACAAACUAGCAAAUGUGUAUGGAGAGGAUAGGAAAACAACACAGAAGGUACCUUUACCUACAUUCUUCCUUUUUCAUAUUCCUUAUUGGAGAACAUCACAGUAUUGGUGAUUUUGAAGAUAUUAUAAGAAUUCAGCAGAAAUGAUGGUGUGCCAAUUCUGGACUACCCUUCCAAGACCUUGCAUGCUCUGUUUGCUCUUUGGAACCCUGGAACCACCAUGAAGACAAGCCUGGCUGGGGCUGCUGCAGGACUGGAGACAGUUGUCAUAGUCAUCCUAUUGCUCCAGCCAACAGCCAACCAACCCUAGAAGCAUCACUGCUUCACUGACCAGAUACAGAAGAGGGGAUCUGUACAGUUGACUGCAGAUACAGAAGAGGGUCAAGAUGAACCCAAAAUUGCCCAACUGAUUCCAGCCUAAAUUAUAAACUAAAUAAAUGGCUGUUUA